Molecule: ribosomal RNA, 460 nt
Filed under: uncultured bacterium
Lineage: Bacteria
Description: partial 16S ribosomal RNA
Rfam family: Bacterial small subunit ribosomal RNA
Source: RNAcentral
CCUACGGGUGGCAGCAGUGAGGAAUAUUGGUCAAUGGACGAGAGUCUGAACCAGCCAAGUAGCGUGAAGGAUGACUGCCCUAUGGGUUGUAAACUUCUUUUAUAUGGGAAUAAAACGUUCCACGUGUGGGAUUUUGUAUGUACCAUAUGAAUAAGGAUCGGCUAACUCCGUGCCAGCAGCCGCGGUAAUACGGAGGAUCCGAGCGUUCUCCGGAUUUAUUGGGUUUAAAGGGAGCGUAGGUGGAUUGUUAAGUCAGUUGUGAAAGUUUGCGGCUCAACCGUAAAAUUGCAGUUGAAACUGGCAGUCUUGAGUACAGUAGAGGUGGGCGGAAUUCGUGGUGUAGCGGUGAAAUGCUUAGAUAUCACGAAGAACUCCGAUUGCGAAGGCAGUUCACUGGACUGCAACUGACAUUGAUGCUCGAAAGUGUGGGUAUCAAACAGGAUUAGAUACCCUAGUAGUC